AGAGUUUGAUCCUGGCUCAGGAUGAACGCUGGCGGCGUGCCUAAUACAUGCAAGUCGAGCGAACGGACGAGAAGCUUGCUUCUCUGAUGUUAGCGGCGGACGGGUGAGUAACACGUGGAUAACCUACCUAUAAGACUGGGAUAACUUCGGGAAACCGGAGCUAAUACCGGAUAAUAUUUUGAACCGCAUGGUUCAAAAGUGAAAGACGGUCUUGCUGUCACUUAUAGAUGGAUCCGCGCUGCAUUAGCUAGUUGGUAAGGUAACGGCUUACCAAGGCAACGAUGCAUAGCCGACCUGAGAGGGUGAUCGGCCACACUGGAACUGAGACACGGUCCAGACUCCUACGGGAGGCAGCAGUAGGGAAUCUUCCGCAAUGGGCGAAAGCCUGACGGAGCAACGCCGCGUGAGUGAUGAAGGUCUUCGGAUCGUAAAACUCUGUUAUUAGGGAAGAACAUAUGUGUAAGUAACUGUGCACAUCUUGACGGUACCUAAUCAGAAAGCCACGGCUAACUACGUGCCAGCAGCCGCGGUAAUACGUAGGUGGCAAGCGUUAUCCGGAAUUAUUGGGCGUAAAGCGCGCGUAGGCGGUUUUUUAAGUCUGAUGUGAAAGCCCACGGCUCAACCGUGGAGGGUCAUUGGAAACUGGAAAACUUGAGUGCAGAAGAGGAAAGUGGAAUUCCAUGUGUAGCGGUGAAAUGCGCAGAGAUAUGGAGGAACACCAGUGGCGAAGGCGACUUUCUGGUCUGUAACUGACGCUGAUGUGCGAAAGCGUGGGGAUCAAACAGGAUUAGAUACCCUGGUAGUCCACGCCGUAAACGAUGAGUGCUAAGUGUUAGGGGGUUUCCGCCCCUUAGUGCUGCAGCUAACGCAUUAAGCACUCCGCCUGGGGAGUACGACCGCAAGGUUGAAACUCAAAGGAAUUGACGGGGACCCGCACAAGCGGUGGAGCAUGUGGUUUAAUUCGAAGCAACGCGAAGAACCUUACCAAAUCUUGACAUACUUUGACAACUCUAGAGAUAGAGCCUUCCCCUUCGGGGGACAAAGUGACAGGUGGUGCAUGGUUGUCGUCAGCUCGUGUCGUGAGAUGUUGGGUU
Molecule: ribosomal RNA, 1094 nt
Filed under: Staphylococcus aureus W25799
Lineage: Bacteria; Bacillati; Bacillota; Bacilli; Caryophanales; Staphylococcaceae
Description: bacterial SSU rRNA
Rfam family: Bacterial small subunit ribosomal RNA
Source: RNAcentral